This 506-nucleotide ribosomal RNA is filed under the name uncultured bacterium. Its description in RNAcentral is "partial 16S ribosomal RNA". It matches the Rfam family "Bacterial small subunit ribosomal RNA", at positions 29 to 523 of the family's 1533-position model. The record is from RNAcentral.
AGUGAACGCUGGCGGUAGGCCUAACACAUGCAAGUCGAACGGCAGCACAGGAGAGCUUGCUCUCUGGGUGGCGAGUGGCGGACGGGUGAGGAAUACAUCGGAAUCUACUCUGUCGUGGGGGAUAACGUAGGGAAACUUACGCUAAUACCGCAUACGACCUACGGGUGAAAGCAGGGGACCUUCGGGCCUUGCGCGAUUGAAUGAGCCGAUGUCGGAUUAGCUAGUUGGCGGGGUAAAGGCCCACCAAGGCGACGAUCCGUAGCUGGUCUGAGAGGAUGAUCAGCCACACUGGAACUGAGACACGGUCCGGACUCCUACGGGAGGCAGCAGUGGGGAAUAUUGGACAAUGGGCGCAAGCCUGAUCCAGCCAUACCGCGUGGGUGAAGAAGGCCUUCGGGUUGUAAGGCCCUUUUGUUGGGAAAGAAAUCCAGCUGGCUAAUACCCGGUUGGGAUGACGGUACCCAAAGAAUAAGCACCGGCUAACUUCGUGCCAGCCGCCGCAGUAA